Molecule: long non-coding RNA, 210 nt
Filed under: Homo sapiens (human)
Lineage: Eukaryota; Metazoa; Chordata; Mammalia; Primates; Hominidae
Description: non-protein coding lnc-CD44-6:1
Source: RNAcentral
AUGGAACUCUUAACAUUCAGGGAUGUGGCCACAGAAUUCUCUCCAGAAGAGUGGAAAUGCCUGGACCCUGCCCAGCAGAAUUUAAAUAGCGAUGUGUUGUUGGAGAAUUACAGAGACCUGGCCUCCCUAGAUCUGGUCACCUGUCUGGAGCAAAGAAAAGAGACCUACAAUUUGAAGAUAGAUGAGACAGUAGCCAAACCCCAAAUUUAA